Molecule: ribosomal RNA, 433 nt
Filed under: uncultured bacterium
Lineage: Bacteria
Description: partial 16S ribosomal RNA
Rfam family: Bacterial small subunit ribosomal RNA
Source: RNAcentral
AACGAACGCUGGCGGCAUGCCUAACACAUGCAAGUCGAACGAGACCUUCGGGUCUAGUGGCGCACGGGUGCGUAACGCGUGGGAACCUGCCCUUAGGUUCGGAAUAACUCCCCGAAAGGGGUGCUAAUACCGGAUAAUGUCUUCGGACCAAAGAUUUAUCGCCUUUGGAUGGGCCCGCGUUGGAUUAGCUAGUUGGUAGGGUAAAAGCCUACCAAGGCGACGAUCCAUAGCUGGUCUGAGAGGAUGAUCAGCCACACUGGGACUGAGACACGGCCCAGACUCCUACGGGAGGCAGCAGUGGGGAAUAUUGGACAAUGGGCGAAAGCCUGAUCCAGCAAUGCCGCGUGAGUGAUGAAGGCCUUAGGGUUGUAAAGCUCUAUUACCCGGGAUGAUAAUGACAGUACCGGGAGAAUAAGCUCCGGCUAACUCCGUG